Molecule: RNA transcript, 2212 nt
Organism: Solanum pennellii
Lineage: Eukaryota; Viridiplantae; Streptophyta; Magnoliopsida; Solanales; Solanaceae
Gene name: BTB/POZ domain-containing protein At3g05675-like
Exons: 3
Source: RefSeq, a predicted model, not a curated record
ACAAUUAAUUCAAAACUUCAUUACAUUAAUUAAUUUACUACACUGUUCUGAAACACUUCGAUCAGAAAUCCCAAUCGUCCUUAUCUGAAACUUGAUCUUCAUCGCGGAAGACCUCUAGGCUCUAGCAGAAUCAUAUGACGGCAGGCGGUGGCAGCGGUGGUGGUGGUGGUGCCGGUGGAGUCACCUCCGGCAAAAAACGACAACGUUCUGGUAGCUAUAGUCGACUUUCCUCUACUGUAGGGAUCAUCGACUCUUCUCGUCCUGAUAAUACCCUGACGGAACGCACACAGAAGACAUCAGGUAUUCGCCGCACAGCUUCUCAAGCGUUUAUUGCACCGUCGUCCUCCGCUGCUGUUAGCCGCGGAUUCAACGAUUCAGCCACGGCUGACGUCGUGCUUCGUCUCUUUGUCGAUCAAUUGCCGCUGUUCGAUACUGAUGACUCCGAAUCCAUUUCAGCCGUCGAUUCUGAUCAAUCCGAUGUCCAGAUCUAUCUCCAUUCCGAUGUUCUCUGCCGUUCUAAGUACUUCGCUACUCUCUUAUCCGACCGCUGGCAAAAGGAAUCAAACGACGGUGAUUCCGGGAAUUCUUUAAGGAUGUUCCGACUGAAUCUCGGCGUUCCCGCUACUCCUGGAUCAAUCGAUCAUCAUUUGGCUGUUCUUCAGCUUCUAUAUACCAAUGACUUCUCCACAACUAUCCACAAUGUUUCGGUAGCGUUGUGUUUACUUCCGGUGGCUUUGGAAUUAAUAUUCGAAGAUUGCAUUAAGGCUUGUGUUCGGUUCCUUGAGGCCGUACCAUGGACCGAAGAUGAAGAAAGGAAAAUACUCAGUAUAGUUCCCUUGCUAGGCAAGGAGGAGUCUCAAGAGCUUCUCGCUAGGGUCUCAAUUGACAAAAUUGAUACGUCCGAACAAAUGCUUCAUGGAUUGAUAUUAUCAGCACUUCAUAACCAUCCUAACACGGCAUUCGCUAAGGCAUUUGUAGCUAAGCUGUUGAGGGACUUUUCGUCCAAAGAGGCAGCAAAGAGAGUGUUGGACCGUGCCUUUCAGAGUAGCUUGAAGAUUGUGAAGGAGUCGUUGGAGGAGUACUCAAGUCCUGACUUUAGAGGUGAUCACAAUGAGAUUGAGGCAAUUCAGAGGCUGAAUUUGCAUACUGCAAUGACAAAUGGGAGGCAUUUGGUGUGGUUGGUGGAAAGGAUGAUUGAACUGAGAGUGGCCGAUACAGCUGUACAGGAGUGGAGCAAUCAGGCCGCAUUUACUGCUGAUUUGCUGAGGGCUCUCCGUGAUGAUGCAUGGAGGAACAUCGUUCCAGGGCUUCCUGCAGUUGUGCUUCGAUGCACUUGCAAGCUUUCUAAUGCAGUCGCCACGGGGACUAUCUUGGCCACCAGACAGUAUUCAACCAUGUCUCAUGGAUCUUUAUCCAAAUGGGUAUUGGCUUUUACAUGUUCUGGGUUAUAUCUUGUGUGUGUUAGCCUUGUGCUGUUCUUUGACAAGCGAGCUACUUCAGUAAGUUUUUGAUCUUCUUGGACUUGGUGUGAUGCUUCGUCAAAGAAACUGCAAGUUAUGGUAUCAUAUAACUGUUAUCAUGAGUGCUCUGCAGAUGUUGGAUGCUGUUAGAUGCUCGCUGUAAUACAUAUGUGAAAUCUCGAUACCCAUGAAUUUUUAAUAACGUUACACUUACAGAACCAGCUUAGUUUUUCUUUGCGAGGCUGGUUUCUUUAUUUGUAUAGUUUGCUGGUACUGUUGCUUACUCUUGCACUAUAGAAGAGUACAAGCACAAGCAGUGGAAGUUUCACAUGUUACUUGAAACAAAUGGGCAGCAUAGAACCUUCUGUUUGUUUGUGGUUAUAGGUCUAAAUGGAUGUACCACAUGAUUUAUGUUUCUAGUGUACAUUCAGCCCCCCAAAAAUGUAUGAAGAGAAGAAAAAAGGAGGAGAUACCGCCUUUUCAGGAACAUCUAAAUAGUGUUGAUUGUUCCCAAGAAAUGGUUUGGAUCUGGACAAGAUUUUUUCCUUAUUUUGUACCUUGUUUUGUUUGUCAUUGUUGAAAUGAGUGAUCUGUUAUAAAGGUAAACUGAGUCGAAACCAGAAACAUGGACAUUCUACAGUAACAGCAGCAUUUUUACUUUUGCUGGUUGUGUCUGUUCUGGUGGUAUCAUCUUCCAAGUUAAUGUUGUGCUCAACUGAUAAAUCAUAAACGGUGAUGCAAUUUUUUCACAA